ACCUGAGUGGCUCAAUCGGUUAAGCGUCUGACUUCAGCUCAGGUCUGUGAGUUUGAGCCUCACAUCGGGCU
Felis catus (domestic cat) is the source of this 71-nucleotide transfer RNA. It matches the Rfam family "tRNA". From Rfam's summary of the family: Transfer RNA (tRNA) molecules are approximately 80 nucleotides in length. Their secondary structure includes four short double-helical elements and three loops (D, anti-codon, and T loops). NCBI's taxonomy places the organism in Eukaryota, Metazoa, Chordata, Mammalia, Carnivora, Felidae. The record is from Rfam.